RNAcentral lists this ribosomal RNA (510 nucleotides) under uncultured bacterium. Its description in RNAcentral is "partial 16S ribosomal RNA". It matches the Rfam family "Bacterial small subunit ribosomal RNA", at positions 28 to 507 of the family's 1533-position model. The record is from RNAcentral.
GACGAACGCUGGCGGCGUGCUUAACACAUGCAAGUCGAACGAAGAGCGAUGGAAGCUUGCUUCUAUCAAUCUUAGUGGCGAACGGGUGAGUAACGCGUAAUCAACCUGCCCUUCAGAGGGGGACAACAGUUGGAAACGACUGCUAAUACCGCAUACGAUCUAAUCUCGGCAUCGAGGAUAGAUGAAAGGUGGCCUCUACAUGUAAGCUAUCACUGAAGGAGGGGAUUGCGUCUGAUUAGCUAGCUGGAGGGGUAACGGCCCACCAAGGCGAUGAUCAGUAGCCGGUCUGAGAGGAUGAACGGCCACAUUGGGACUGAGACACGGCCCAGACUCCUACGGGAGGCAGCAGUGGGGAAUCUUCCGCAAUGGACGAAAGUCUGACGGAGCAACGCCGCGGGAGUGAUGACGGCCUUCGGGUUGUAAAGCUCUGUUAAUCGGGACGAAAGGCCUUCUUGCGAAUAGUGAGAAGGAUUGACGGUACCGGAAUAGAAAGCCACGGCUAACUACGUG